RNAcentral lists this ribosomal RNA (654 nucleotides) under uncultured bacterium. RNAcentral's name for it is "bacterial SSU rRNA". It matches the Rfam family "Bacterial small subunit ribosomal RNA", at positions 65 to 742 of the family's 1533-position model. The record is from RNAcentral.
AGCGGACGAGAUUGAAGCUUGCUUCAGUCCAAGUUAGCGGCGGACGGGUGAGUAACACGUAGGAAUCUGCCUUCAGGCGGGGGACAACGGAACGAAAGUUGCGCUAAUACCCCAUAUGCGAGUAAUCGUAAAAGGAGCAAUCCACCGGAAGAUGAGCCUGCGUCCGAUUAGCUAGUUGGUAGGGUAAGAGCCUACCAAGGCUACGAUCGGUAGUUGGUCUGAGAGGAUGAUCAGCCACAAUGGAACUGAGACACGGUCCAUACUCCUACGGGAGGCAGCAGUGGGGAAUUUUACGCAAUGGGCGAAAGCCUGACGUAGCGACACCGCGUGAGCGAAGAAGCCUUUUGGGGUGUAAAGCUCUGUCAGCUGGAACGAACACAAUGACGGUACCAGCAGAGGAAGCAUCGGCUAACUACGUGCCAGCAGCCGCGGUAAGACGUAGGAUGCAAGCGUUGUCCGGAUUUAUUGGGCGUAAAGAGUUCGUAGGCGGUUAGUUAAGUCUGGUGUUAAAUCCCGUGGCCCAACCACGGAGCUGCAUCAGAUACUGGCUGACUCCAGUGCGGUAGAGGCGAGUGGAAUUCCCAGUGUAGCGGUGAAAUGCGUAGAUAUUGGGAAGAACACCAGUGGCGUAAGCGACUCGCUGGGCCGUAACUG